UAUGAAAAACCUAAUUUAGGAAUAUUUUGAUAGAAUAUUUAUUGUAAUCUUUUUUACUUUCAUUU
RNAcentral lists this transfer RNA (65 nucleotides) under Tremex columba (pigeon tremex). RNAcentral's name for it is "tRNA-Ile". Lineage: Eukaryota; Metazoa; Arthropoda; Insecta; Hymenoptera; Siricidae. The record is from RNAcentral.